This 1305-nucleotide ribosomal RNA is filed under the name Triticum aestivum (bread wheat). RNAcentral's name for it is "partial small subunit ribosomal RNA". Lineage: Eukaryota; Viridiplantae; Streptophyta; Magnoliopsida; Poales; Poaceae. The record is from RNAcentral.
AUGGAAGUUGCAUUAGCUAGCGUUGCCGUAAGUGUUAGCUUAAAAGUGGCUGCAUCUCCAGCCUUGAAGAAGCUGCUUGCUAAUGCUUCAACGUACCUUGGAGUGGAUAUGAUGCGUGAGCUCCAUGAACUGGAGACCACUAUCAUGCCGCAACUCGAGCUGGUGAUUGAAGCAGCAAACAAGGGAAACCACAGGCCCAAGUUGGACAAAUGGCUUCAGGAACUCAAAGAAGGCUUCUACAUGGCUGAAGACUUGCUGGACAAGCAUGAAUACAACCUUCUCAAGCGCCAAGAAAAGGGCAAGGAUUCCUUAUCGGCCAAUGCUUCCUCCAUCAGCAGCACUUUUAUGAAGCCUCUGCGUGUUGUGUCGAGUAGGAUGUCCAAUCUGAGCUCAGAUAACAGAAAGCUAAUUCAACAGUUAAAUGAACUCAAGGCAACCCUGGCAAAAGCCAAGGACUUCCGUGAACUGCUCUGCAUACCAGCUGGUUAUAAUGUGUGGAGCUCCACCAUACCAUCCGUUGUUCCUGAGACUACAUCAAUACCACCUCUCAAAGUGAUUGGUCGUGACAAGGAUCGGGAUCAUCUUAUAGAUCGUCUUACCAAGACAACUGCUACUACUAAAUCUAAUACAACUAUGUACUCGAGUUUCGCUAUUGUUGGACCUGGAGGCAUCGGAAAGUCCACCUUGGCACAACUUGUUUACAAUAGCAAAAGGAUAAAAAAUUAUUUUGAUGUGAGAAUGUGGGUAAGCGUAUCACGCAAACUUGAUGUACGUCGUCAUACACGGGAGAUCAUCGAGUCUGCCUCUCAGGGGGAAUGCCCACGCAUUGACAACCUUGAUACAUUGCAGCGCAAGUUGGCAGACAUACUGCAAGACUCAGGGAAAUUCCUUCUUGUGUUGGAUGAUGUUUGGUUUGAACCUGGCAGUGAGGGGGAAUGGGACCAACUAUUAGCACCACUAGUUUCCCAACAGUCGGGAAGCAAAGUAUUGGUAACUUCUCGAAGGGAUACAUUUCCAGCUGCUCUUUGCUGUGGAGAAGUGCGUUCACUGAAAAACAUAGGAAAUGCUCAGUUCUUGGCACUCUUCAAACACCAUGCAUUCUCUGGACCAGAAAUCAGAAAUCCACAGCUGCGUGAAAGUCUGGAAGAUUUUGCGAAGAAGAUUGCUAAAAGGCUUGGAAAGUCUCCUUUGGCAGCAAAAGUUGUGGGUUCCCAACUGAAAGGGAAAACAUGUAUCGCUGCAUGGAAGGAUGCUCUAACUAUAAAGAUUGACAAAUUAAGUGAGCCCAUGAGAGCUCUGUUGUGA